UGAAGAGUUUGAUCCUGGCUCAGAACGAACGCUGGCGGCGUGGCUAAGACAUGCAAGUCGUACGCACUAUGCUUAACCGUAUGGUGAGUGGCGAAAGGGUGAGGAAUAGAUAGGUAACGUACCUUAUGCACCGGAAUAGCGUCGUUAGUAGCAAUACUAACUACCGAAAGGGGCGGUAAUACCGGAUAACGUUGUCGGUCGCAUGAUCGACAUCCAAUGGAUUUAUCGGCAUAAGAGCGGCCUUUCUCCUAUCAGCUAGUUGGCGAGGUAAUGGCUCACCAAGGCUAUGACGGGUACCGGGAUUGAGAGAUCGACCCGGCACAUCGGAACUGAGACACUGUCCGGACCUCCACGGAGGGCUGCAGUAACGAAUAUUGGGCA
RNAcentral lists this ribosomal RNA (381 nucleotides) under Planctomycetes bacterium GWF2_42_9. RNAcentral describes it as "bacterial SSU rRNA". It matches the Rfam family "Bacterial small subunit ribosomal RNA", at positions 1 to 370 of the family's 1533-position model. Lineage: Bacteria; Pseudomonadati; Planctomycetota. The record is from RNAcentral.